This 400-nucleotide ribosomal RNA is filed under the name phytoplankton environmental sample. RNAcentral describes it as "partial small subunit ribosomal RNA". It matches the Rfam family "Eukaryotic small subunit ribosomal RNA", at positions 587 to 973 of the family's 1831-position model. The record is from RNAcentral.
AGCUCCAAUAGCGUAUAUUAAAGUUGUUGCAGUUAAAAAGCUCGUAGUUGGAUUUCUGGUUCGAAUGUCCGGUCCGCUUGUGACUUGUUUGCGAGUGCGUACUAUGGAUGUUUGGGCCAUUUUUUGUGAGGAAAUUUACCUGUCAUUAAGUUGAUGGGUUUAUAGACUUGCAUCGUUUACUGUGAAAAAAUUAGAGUGUUUAAAGCAGGCGUUUGCUUAUUUGAAUACAUUAGCAUGGAAUAAUAAGAUACGACUUUGGUGGUCUAUUUUGUUGGUUUGCACGCCAGAGUAAUGAUUAAUAGGGACAGUUGGGGGUAUUCAUAUUUCAGCGUCAGAGGUGAAAUUCUUGGAUCGCUGAAAGAUGAGCUUAGGCGAAAGCAUUUACCAAGGAUGUUUUCAU